RNAcentral lists this ribosomal RNA (468 nucleotides) under uncultured bacterium. Its description in RNAcentral is "partial 16S ribosomal RNA". It matches the Rfam family "Bacterial small subunit ribosomal RNA", at positions 28 to 507 of the family's 1533-position model. The record is from RNAcentral.
GACGAACGCUGGCGGCGUGCUUAACACAUGCAAGUCGAACGGAAAGGCCCUGCUUUUGUGGGGUGCUCGAGUGGCGAACGGGUGAGUAACACGUGAGUAACCUGCCCUUGACUUUGGGAUAACUUCAGGAAAAUGGGGCUAAUACCGGAUAGGAGCUCCUGCUGCAUGGUGGUGGUUGGAAAGUUUCGGCGGUUGGAGCUGGACUCGCGGCUUAUCAGCUUGUUGGUGGGGUAGUUGCUUACCAAGGCUUUGAAGGGUAGCCGGCAUGAGAGGGUGACCGGCCACAUUGGGACUGAGAUACGGCCCAGAAUCCUACGGGAGGCAGCAGGGGGGAAUAUUGCACAAUAGGCGGGAGCCUGAUGCAGCAGCGCCGCGUUCGGGAUGACGGCCUUCGGGGUGUAAACCGCUGUCGCCUGUGACGAAGCGUGAGUGACGGUAAUGGGUAAAGAAGCACCGGCUAACUACGUG